Molecule: ribosomal RNA, 794 nt
Filed under: Oceanobacillus sp.
Lineage: Bacteria; Bacillati; Bacillota; Bacilli; Caryophanales; Bacillaceae
Description: bacterial SSU rRNA
Source: RNAcentral
UGCAAGUCGAGCGCGUGAAACCUUUCUGAUCCCAUUCGGGGUGACGAAAGGUGGAUCGAGCGGCGGACGGGUGAGUAACACGUGGGUAACCUGCCUGUAAGACUGGGAUAACUCGCGGAAACGCGAGCUAAUACCGGAUAAYACUUCUUAUCGCAUGAUAGGAAUUUAAAAGACGGCGUAAGCUGUCACUUACAGAUGGACCCGCGGCGCAUUAGCUAGUUGGUGGGGUAAGAGCCUACCAAGGCGACGAUGCGUAGCCGACCUGAGAGGGUGAUCGGCCACACUGGGACUGAGACACGGCCCAGACUCCUACGGGAGGCAGCAGUAGGGAAUCUUCCGCAAUGGACGAAAGUCUGACGGAGCAAUGCCGCGUGAGUGAAGAAGGUCUUCGGAUCGUAAAACUCUGUUGUUAGGGAAGAACAAGUUGGAUAGUAACUGAUCCAGCCUUGACGGUACCUAACCAGAAAGCCACGGCUAACUACGUGCCAGCAGCCGCGGUAAUACGUAGGUGGCAAGCGUUGUCCGGAUUUAUUGGGCGUAAAGCGCUCGCAGGCGGUCUUUUAAGUCUGAUGUGAAAUCUUGCGGCUUAACCGUAAGCGGUCAUUGGAAACUGGAGGACUUGAGUGCAGAAGAGGAGAGUGGAAUUCCAUGUGUAGCGGUGAAAUGCGUAGAGAUAUGGAGGAACACCAGUGGCGAAGCGACUCUCUGGUCUGCAACUGACGCUGAGAGCGAAAGCGUGGUAGCGAACAGAUUAGAUACCCUGGUAGUCCACGCCGUAAACGAUGAGUGCUAGG